Mauremys mutica (yellowpond turtle) is the source of this 332-nucleotide long non-coding RNA. RefSeq lists it as uncharacterized. Lineage: Eukaryota; Metazoa; Chordata; Testudines; Geoemydidae. The transcript has 3 exons. The record is from RefSeq and is a predicted model, not a curated record.
GAGCUGUGUGGCGCACACGCUGUCCUCGGACAGAUGUGCCAUUGAGCUGUGGAAGGCCUUGGGGGAAGAACCACAGCUCCCCAGGGAGGUGCUGCAGCAGCUGCUGGACAAGCUCCAGCAGAGACGCCGGGAGGAGAAGAGCGGCAAUGUGUCUCUGGCUGCAAUGAGGACCAUUUACGAGGUCCUUUUCCUAUGGGGAUACCGAGAAGCCAUCCUGGAAAUGUAUCCCCAGAUGCUCAUCCUCUGCGUCAGGCAAGUGCAGUAUGUGAUGGAUCUGCACUUGCCAGGGACCUACAUGGCCAGCACGACAUCCAGCCCCGAGGAGGGAUCCA